Molecule: ribosomal RNA, 473 nt
Filed under: uncultured bacterium
Lineage: Bacteria
Description: partial 16S ribosomal RNA
Rfam family: Bacterial small subunit ribosomal RNA
Source: RNAcentral
UACCAGACUCCUACGGGAGGCAGCAGUGGGGAAUCUUCCGCAAUGGGCGCAAGCCUGACGGAGCAAUGCCGCGUGAACGAAGAAGGUCUUCGGAUUGUAAAGUUCUGUCCUUAUCGAAGAGAGGGUAUAGAGUGAAAAAUGAUAUACUAGGACGGUAGAUGAGGAGGAAGCCCCGGCUAACUACGUGCCAGCAGCCGCGGUAAUACGUAGGGAGCGAGCGUUGUCCGGAAUUACUGGGUGUAAAGGGAGCGUAGGCGGGCGAGAAAGUUGAAUGUUAAAUCUACCGGCUUAACUGGUAGCUGCGUUCAAAACUUCUUGUCUUGAGUGAAGUAGAGGCAGGCGGAAUUCCUAGUGUAGCGGUGAAAUGCGUAGAUAUUAGGAGGAACACCAGUGGCGAAGGCGGCCUGCUGGGCUUUAACUGACGCUGAGGCUCGAAAGCGUGGGGAGCAAACAGGAUUAGAUACCCGAGUAAC